GAGAUACUGAAUAUUGAUUGGUUUGAUACCUGGACUACUGUGUUGACUGAGAGGUUAAAGGUCAACUUGUUUGGACACCCCUGAGGUAAGAGGAGAUGAAACAUGGAGAUGAAACAUGGUUUAGGAGAUGAAACAUGGUUUAGGAGGUGAAACAUGGUUUAGGAGGUGAAACAUGGAGAUGGAACUUGGAGAUGAAACAUGGUUUAGGAGGUGAAACAUGGUUUAGGAGGCGAAACAUGGAGAUGAAACAUGGAGGUGAAACCUGGCUUAGGAGGUGAAAAAUGGAGAUGAAACAUGGUUUAAGAGGUGAAACAUGGAGAUGAAACCUGGAGAUGAAACAUGGUUUCGAAGGUGAAACAUGGAGAUUGAACUUGGAGAUGGUUUAGGAGGUGAAACAUUGUUUAGGAGGUGAAACAUGGAGAUGAAACCUGGUUUAGGAGGUGAAACAUGUAGAUGAAACCUGGCUUAGGAGGUGAAACAUGGAGAUGAAACCUGGAGAUGAAACAUGGUUUCGAAGGUGAAACAUGGAGAUUGAACUUGGAGAUGGUUUAGGAGGUGAAACAUUGUUUAGGAGGUGAAACAUGGAGAUGAAACCUGGUUUAGGAGGUGAAACAUGUAGAUGAAACCUGGCUUAGGAGGUGAAACAUGGAGAUGAAACCUGGAGAUGAAACAUGGUUUCGAAGGUGAAACAUGGAGAUUGAACUUGGAGAUGGUUUAGGAGGUGAAACAUUGUUUAGGAGGUGAAACAUGGAGAUGAAACCUGG
Nerophis lumbriciformis (worm pipefish) is the source of this 764-nucleotide long non-coding RNA. RefSeq lists it as uncharacterized. NCBI's taxonomy places the organism in Eukaryota, Metazoa, Chordata, Actinopteri, Syngnathiformes, Syngnathidae. The record is from RefSeq and is a predicted model, not a curated record.